This 484-nucleotide ribosomal RNA is filed under the name uncultured bacterium. RNAcentral describes it as "partial 16S ribosomal RNA". It matches the Rfam family "Bacterial small subunit ribosomal RNA", at positions 30 to 507 of the family's 1533-position model. The record is from RNAcentral.
AUUGAACGCUGGCGGCAGGCCUAACACAUGCAAGUCGAGCGGAUGAAGGGAGCUUGCUCCUGGAUUCAGCGGCGGACGGGUGAGUAAUGCCUAGGAAUCUGUCUGGUAGUGGGGGAUAACGUCCGGAAACGGGCGCUAAUACCGCAUACGUCCUGAGGGAGAAAGUGGGGGAUCUUCGGACCUCACGCUAUCAGAUGAGCCUAGGUCGGAUUAGCUAGUUGGUGGGGUAAAGGCCUACCAAGGCGACGAUCUGUAACUGGUCUGAGAGGAUGAUCAGUCACACUGGAACUGAGACACGGUCCAGACUCCUACGGGAGGCAGCAGUGGGGAAUAUUGGACAAUGGGCGAAAGCCUGAUCCAGCCAUGCCGCGUGUGUGAAGAAGGUCUUCGGAUUGUAAAGCACUUUAAGUUGGGAGGAAGGGCAGUAAGUUAAUACCUUGCUGUUUUGACGUUACCAACAGAAUAAGCACCGGCUAACUUCGUG